RNAcentral lists this ribosomal RNA (484 nucleotides) under Escherichia coli. RNAcentral describes it as "partial 23S ribosomal RNA". It matches the Rfam family "Bacterial large subunit ribosomal RNA", at positions 1 to 524 of the family's 2925-position model. The record is from RNAcentral. Lineage: Bacteria; Pseudomonadati; Pseudomonadota; Gammaproteobacteria; Enterobacterales; Enterobacteriaceae.
GGUUAAGCGACUAAGCGUACACGGUGGAUGCCCUGGCAGUCAGAGGCGAUGAAGGACGUGCUAAUCUGCGAUAAGCGUCGGUAAGGUGAUAUGAACCGUUAUAACCGGCGAUUUCCGAAUGGGGAAACCCAGUGUGUUUCGACACACUAUCAUUAACUGAAUCCAUAGGUUAAUGAGGCGAACCGGGGGAACUGAAACAUCUAAGUACCCCGAGGAAAAGAAAUCAACCGAGAUUCCCCCAGUAGCGGCGAGCGAACGGGGAGGAGCCCAGAGCCUGAAUCAGUGUGUGUGUUAGUGGAAGCGUCUGGAAAGGCGCGCGAUACAGGGUGACAGCCCCGUACACAAAAAUGCACAUGCUGUGAGCUCGAUGAGUAGGGCGGGACACGUGGUAUCCUGUCUGAAUAUGGGGGGACCAUCCUCCAAGGCUAAAUACUCCUGACUGACCGAUAGUGAACCAGUACCGUGAGGGAAAGGCGAAAAGAAC